GCCUUCGUGGUGUAGUGGUCAGCACGCUCGUCGAAUAACCGAGAGGUCCGUGGUUCGAGUCCCGGAGAGGGCA
RNAcentral lists this transfer RNA (73 nucleotides) under Stegodyphus mimosarum. It matches the Rfam family "tRNA". From Rfam's summary of the family: Transfer RNA (tRNA) molecules are approximately 80 nucleotides in length. The record is from Rfam by way of RNAcentral. Lineage: Eukaryota; Metazoa; Arthropoda; Arachnida; Araneae; Eresidae.